This 1289-nucleotide long non-coding RNA is filed under the name Anser brachyrhynchus (Pink-footed goose). RNAcentral's name for it is "lncRNA (ENSABRG00000011062.1)". The record is from RNAcentral. Lineage: Eukaryota; Metazoa; Chordata; Aves; Anseriformes; Anatidae.
AUGCGGUUCCGAUGCUGCCACCACCGGAGAAGACAACGUAUUAUCCUGGGGAGGUAUCCUUGCCCUUAUCGCCCCAUUCCUCCAUCCCGCAGGGUGGCAAAGAUAACCCGCCCCUGCUCCAGGAUGGCCUGGCAGAAGACCUGGUGUCCUGAGGAGAGCAGCUUUCCGCUGGAUUCCUUGGAUUUCCAGCCACUGAAUCCCAAUGCCUGGUCGUGGGAUCUUGGCAAAGAGGAAGCCAAGAAAUUCAUCGAGAUAUUCGUCAGCAGCACAAAGAAGGAUGAGGAAAAGAAAAUGAAGUUCCUGGAGAGCAUCUGCACCCUGUGCAGACAGUAUUCCUUGUUGGAGGACAUGGAUGCCUUCUGCCACAAAACCGAGCUGGCAGAGAACAUCAAGGUUUUGCUGGAAGAGGAGCCCACGGACAGUUUGCACACAGCAUUUCGUAGGAAUGCCAUGGAGACUCUCACCAUCCUCAGCUCCACUGCGAAGGCAGCACUGGAUGGCAAAAAGGAGAGUCUCCUGCAUGCCUGCUUCAAGAGUGUCUUCUUUCUGCCUCCCUAUUUGGACAUGUCAGCGGUAGAAAAAGAUCUCUACAACAAGACCAUGAACGCCAUGGAAAUCAUGCUGCAGGCCUUUGUACGCAACUGUCCAAUCUCCAGUGUCGGCGAGGAGCUGCAGAUUAUUUGGCAGGUGCUGCUGCACUACGCCACCUCCCAUAACACCGCUGUGCGCAAGAUCGCCCUGCAGAAGAUUGAGAGGCUGAGUGAUUUCCUGGUCACAUAUCUGGGGAAGGUAAGAUGCCAGGAACCCUUCAGGCAGCCUGUCUCCCCUUCCCUGCAUUCCAGAGCAUCCUGCAGCUCAGGGGUGCCUGUGCAGCAAGCCCGAGCACAGGUGGGGGCCUCAGCACAGCUCUGCCCUGAAGCAAGGGUCUUUGUCCCUCCUUUGCCCCUGCUCUUCCUUCCCCAGGCCCUGCUCUCUGCCUCCACUUAACCCUUCUUCUCUCCUCCCUCCCUUGCCCAGACCUCGUUCACUGCUGGACAAUGCGAGGGCAGCCCGGGCACCCACAAAGAGGUCCACAUCCCCAUCCUGGGACAGCUGCUGGGCCACCUCUUCAUUUCCAGCUGUGGCACAGAUCCCACCAGAUACAGAGUUUUGGAUGCUCUUUAUCACUUCUACGCAUUCCUCAAAGAUGGAAGAGGUAAGAGAAGGUGUGGUGGGCAGCGUCCGUCUGCACACAGACAUCUGCUGGUAUGUCUGCUUCUUUUCCCCGAGUAUUGUGAAGGAUUGUUCUU